UGCCAAGCUCACAUGAGGAGUUCCACAGU
Molecule: non-coding RNA, 29 nt
Filed under: Rattus norvegicus (Norway rat)
Lineage: Eukaryota; Metazoa; Chordata; Mammalia; Rodentia; Muridae
Source: RNAcentral